GGAGGUAUGGCUUAGGCGGUAAAGCACCUACCUACCAAGUGCAAGGCCCUGAGUUCAAACCCUAGUACUGCCC
Molecule: transfer RNA, 73 nt
Filed under: Dipodomys ordii (Ord's kangaroo rat)
Lineage: Eukaryota; Metazoa; Chordata; Mammalia; Rodentia; Heteromyidae
Rfam family: tRNA
About the family: Transfer RNA (tRNA) molecules are approximately 80 nucleotides in length. Their secondary structure includes four short double-helical elements and three loops (D, anti-codon, and T loops).
Source: Rfam by way of RNAcentral